Magallana angulata is the source of this 2627-nucleotide long non-coding RNA. RefSeq lists it as uncharacterized. The record is from RefSeq and is a predicted model, not a curated record. Lineage: Eukaryota; Metazoa; Mollusca; Bivalvia; Ostreida; Ostreidae. The transcript has 4 exons.
UUUUCAUGAAACUAUUCCCAUACAAAAAAAAGUUACACUUAGUCAUAACUUUUCUGUAACUAAAGUGUAACUUUUAUGUACCUAAGAUUUAGGCACAUAAAAGUUAUAACUUUUUUGUACCUAGAUUGGACUUAAACUUUUUGCCCUAUAACUAAAAUGUACCUACAUGGAACUUAGAAAUUUCUUAGUAUAACUAAAAUGUACCUACAUUGAACUUAGAAACUUUUCAGUAUAACUAAAAUGUACCUACAUUGAACUUAGAAACUUUUCAGUAUAACUAAAAUGUACCUACAUUGAACUUAGAAACUUUUCAGUAUAACUAAAAUGUACCUACAUUGAACUUAGAAAAUGUUCAGUAUAACUGAAAUGUACCUACAUUGAACUUAGAAACUUUUCAGUAUAACUAAAAUGUACCUACAUUGAACUUAGUCAAUUUGUGAAUGUGUUUGGACUUUGUCAUUUUUACACUAAAAAUUUAAGUGUAUCUUAUCCAAGAGGUUCAAGUUUAAAGUACACUUUUAUCACAAAAAAUCUAAAAACUAAUAUAAAAUAUCGUUAUAACUUUGUUUUUUAAUAAAAAUCACGAUAAGUGGGGGGGGGUAGAUGUAGGUAGAUCACACACUGGGUAGUAAAAUCACUAAGAUUUGUUUGAAAACAAUGACAUAACCAUUAUAACGGGAAUCCAGUCCAUCAAUUGCAACACAAACACCUGUCCAAAAUUUUAUUGUUUUUAUAAGGCAGAAACAGGAAAUCACUUUCCGCCUGAACGCACACACAUCCCAGGUUAACAGUAAAGGGUGUCUAAAGAGGUCAUGAUUAGUCCGUGCUGUGAUGACACUGAUGUUUGUUUAAGAAAAAAAGUUGAUGUGUGUGUUUUGACCAGCAGACAUUUUUUAUUUUGCUCCUGCAAGCAUUAUUUUGUUAUCUGUCUCUUGAACAUCAUUAGACAUAUUACGAUUUCGUUUAAACACUGUUAAAUACUAAGGGGUAGCAUCAACUUUAUAUUAUCACUGAAAUUUUUUCCAACUUUUCAUGGCCUACCCCAUGAAUAAAGGAAUAGAGUAGAUUUCUAGAAAUUGAUUCAGAAUUUUCUCACGACAUCGAAUGCAUGCGAAGAAAAGGGGGGGGGGGGGCUGGGGAGGGGUGGUAGCAUUGUUUGUUAUUAUGAGAUGGGUUCAUCAUAUUUAUUCACAUAUUUGAUUUAUAGACAUGCUGUUAACAAAGAACAGUACUGCUAUUUCCAUCUGUAUGUUUUCCCAGUACUAGCCUAUCUCUCAUCGUAAUUUAUAACAGCACAUAGCUAUAAGGACUGUGUUAUAAACUUUGGGAAACAUGUUUUAUUAAAAAAAGGUGUUAUAAUUUUUGGUUUUACAUAUUCAUCAAUUGUAAAAAUGCAUUAGUAUUUAAUUUGAUUUAGUUUUUAAAUUUCCCUCAAAUUAUUCAAAAUGGCGGCUCUUGAGACCGGAAAUGCCCAGUUUUGAUGAUCGGUUAAUAAACUAACAGGUUGUAAGGAAAGAAAAUAUUACUAAAAUUUGUUUCAAUUAAAUGCAGAAUUCUUUAGAUAAUAUUAAGUAAAUAAUAUUGUUUUUUAACCAAAAUAAAUUUUAAAGAUUUAUCCCGGUAUUAAUCGUGGCUGUAUCGUGAUUGGCCAAAAUUUCAAACUUUGACUUUCGUGAAUUCUGAUUGGACAAUUGCCAUUCCGCCAUCAAAUUUUGAAAUGGGCAAAGAAGACUGGAGUUGUUGUGAAGAUUUUCCUGAUUUUUUCAAGAAAUAUGCAGAAUCACAGCGUGUUGUAUGUAUUAAUGAAACUGCAAGCAGUGGUUUCAUAAAGAUAGACAUGCUUAAGACCUGGAUGAUAUGGCUUUAGUUGUGGAUGACCAUUUCCAUUCACGAAAAAAUCCCAACCAAGUCCAGCUAGCAGACUGUACACCAGAUGGAAGAUACAUCAUUAAUACAAGAUGAAAAAAAUUAAUGGAGGACGAGGAUAAUACUAUGAAAGAGAUAAGAUGCAAAAGCAACCGUUCCCAUUGAAAUACAUGCAGCCAUGUAAACAGAAACCAGUUUUCCCCUGCCAGGUGCUGGUCACAUAUAUAUUCAACUUGGAACAGAUUCAAGAAACAGAUCCAGUUGUUUGCUGAUAAAUUACUGCAGGUCAUUGGUAUAUCAUCUAGAACCAGGACUGUUUUAAAAAUCAUACUAGUAUGUUUGGAACAAAAUCAUGCUAGUAUAUGUUAGGAAUUUAACCUAAAACAUGCUUUAUGAAGGUUUUGGUCAAAUUUGGGUUUACAAAAUAAUGUUUUUCAAACUUUCUAUUCAAAUUUAGCAAGAACAUUAGACACACAUGUAAUCCCAAAUGCUUUUAUGUUAGAUUAUUGCUUUAUUUAAAAAACUUGCAUAUAGGGUCUGUAAUGAUUUGAGAUAAUUAUGUAAACAAUAAAAUGCUUUCUUUGGUGACAUAUGCGGGAUAUGAAUGUAGCGACAUUGCAGAAAAAAUACAUUACCCGCAUUAGCGAGUUAUGUAAAUUUUUUCUGCAAUCAUUGCUCCCUUCAUUACCUGCAUGAAUCGUCAAAGAAAGCAUUAUAUUGUUUAUAUUUACAUCUUUCUUUUAACAAAUUAAUAAAUUGUU